RNAcentral lists this long non-coding RNA (1111 nucleotides) under Homo sapiens (human). Its description in RNAcentral is "HSALNT0026368". Lineage: Eukaryota; Metazoa; Chordata; Mammalia; Primates; Hominidae. The record is from RNAcentral.
ACCACAAGAGUGGGAAUACCCUGGAGUGAGAGGUUGAAUUCAGAAAAAUGUCAAAAUCUUUGUAAAGGUCUACAGCGCGCCUUACAGAAUCUGCUCCUGACUUCCUAAGAGCUGAUUCCCUGUUUCUCCCCUGCUCAUUUAUUUGGCUCUGAGAACACUGUCUUCCUUAAUUAUUCUCUGUCCAUCAGGCUGGUUUCCACCUGGUCAAUUGGCUUAGACUAGAACACCACGGCAUCCCUAACCUCAGGUAGGUCGUAUCUCGCACCAAUGCUCAGCUCCAAUUCCCCUUCCUCUGUGUACAGAGCAUGUGGGACCCUGCCCACCAGCCUCUCUGCUCUCCUCCCCGGCUCCCUUAGGCUUUCUUCUUUUGAACCUCUAACCUGUAUGUCUUAUAGCCCUGAUUCCAAAACCUCCUCUGUAGAUCUUAGCUGCAUGGGACAUACCCAGGGAGCUUGGGAAGGGCACAAUUCUCUUGUGCCUGCUCCCAGGGUCUCUGAAUAGGUCCAGGUGAGGCUGACACUGUGCCUCUUACAGGCUUCCCAGGUAUGUUAUCAUGGGUACUACUGGAGAACCAUGGCCCAAAACCCACCGUUGGCUUUUAGUUUCUUUGUUUUCAUGUACUCACCUGGGGAGCCUGCCAGCCUGAGGGCCCCCUGAGACAUCCUUCUCCUAAAAUUUCUCUGCAGUGACACAAGUAGAGAACCUGCAGGUUGGGAUCUUUGUUAAUAAAUGUUUCAGGCACACAGAACAAAGCGUAGUCUCAGGAGACAUUACGGGCAAUCAGAUUUUGUUGGUUUUUGAUUUUGUUUUUUCUUCCAUAUGAAGGCAGCUGGAAUAAAUGAAGGCAUGGCAGUGGGCUCUCCCACCAGGAUCCAGAAGCCACAGGCCAACUACAGCAGUCCUUCGGCCAUCAGGGAUGCUCACCAUUGUCACAGACGAUGGGAGUCCUGGCACAGACCUUCACACCAUGUCACUCCUGUCUCACCAAGAAGCUUGGAAGGAAAUGUCAGCAGGACUAUAAUUGCUGAGUCCUGGGGACAACAGUGCCACUUCCCAAGAAAAUGGGACUGUUUUCAAGCUGUAAAAUCAAUUGUAAAAGAAAUAGCUCUUG